RNAcentral lists this long non-coding RNA (1241 nucleotides) under Lathyrus oleraceus (garden pea). RNAcentral's name for it is "Pisum sativum (pea) long non-coding RNA (PSAT_LNC008304)". Lineage: Eukaryota; Viridiplantae; Streptophyta; Magnoliopsida; Fabales; Fabaceae. The record is from RNAcentral.
UUUGUGGGUACGAGAGUGUAACUUUAGAUUUUGAUAUAUUAAAAACUUUUUGUUACAACAAUGUUAACAACAAACAUCAUCCCAACUUAAACUCACUUAAAAACAACAACACUUUCCAACAAGAAACCAAAAAUCACAAAACGAACAACAACGGGUUUAAAUAAACAACGCAUACAUCAUAUAUCAAAACAGAUAAAAAUACUUAACCACAACAUUAAAAUACAAUAUUUAUAACUGAUUACAACAAUCAAACUAAUAUCAUUUAGUCUAAACAUAAUUUCCCUAACAUCCUUAUCAUUUUUAACUCGCACCCACCCAUGCAGGACAUCAUGUCUCUCAAUACUUCUAAUUUUUUCGCCUUCAGGUAUGUCUUCGUUUAACCAACAAAUCAAAUCCCUCUAUAAUUUCUCGAAACUACAAAUGUUCUAGAAUAGCAUCUCUAUCGGAGACUUGUCUCUCGAAUAAAUCAUUUUUCCUUUGCGGCGACGAACCAUGUUAGCAUAAUUACAAAGUAAUAGGAAUAGAUGUGGAAAAAUGGAUCACUCAGACCUCUAUUUAUACUACAAUAACACAACACACACUGUUGCCAAGUCAAUUGGUGACUGCAUUUAAACGUUACACAUAUGCGCCAAUUGGAUUGACAACACUAGGUUCAAAAGCCAAUCCAAUUAGCGUCUGUUCUUAAAAUUUGAAUGUACUAACCAAUUGGUCUGACACCAGUGCUUUGACGUGUUUUUUUUUGAAAAUGAAUUAUUUUGAAAAAUUAUCUGAAAUAUGAAUUAUUUUCGGAAUUUUUUUAAAAACUGAAUUUAUUUGAAUAAAAAAAUAAUUGUUUAUACCUGAUCCAAUGGUAGACUAGGAAAUGAUGACACACCCUAAAAAGGAUGGAUACGGAAAUUUGUAACAUGGAAUGGCUAGAUCUCUGUUGCAAAACAUCUUGCAUAAACUUCACUUCCAUGGAGCCUUAUUCAUCUUUCAAAUUUAUGCAUAUGUGGACCACUCACCCUAAUUGUUUGGAGGUUAUUAAAGCUAGUUGAAAGGUCAAAAUUUAUGGAUGCCCUAUGUUUGUUUUAUCUGAGAAGCUCAAGUCCCUAAAGAGCACUCUCAAAUUUUAGAAUAACAACACUUUUGAAAAUGUUCAUGCUAUGGUGAAACAGGCUGAGCUUGAGAUUCAAGAUGGAUGAGAGAGAGAGUGAGAUUAUUAUAGAAAGAAAAUAUUAUAGUAAAAUGGCUUCUCGAUG